RNAcentral lists this ribosomal RNA (504 nucleotides) under Triticum aestivum (bread wheat). Its description in RNAcentral is "partial small subunit ribosomal RNA". Lineage: Eukaryota; Viridiplantae; Streptophyta; Magnoliopsida; Poales; Poaceae. The record is from RNAcentral.
AUGGCAUCCAAGGCGCUGUUGCUGGCCGUGGCCGUGGCCGUGGCGGCGGGGUGCGCGGACGCGACGGACCACAUCGUGGGGGCCAACCGCGGGUGGAACCCCAACAUCAACUACUCCGGCUGGUCCGCCAACCAGACCUUCUACGCCGGCGACCUCAUCUCGUUCCGGUACCAGAAGGGGACGCACAACGUGUUCGCGGUGAACGAGACGGGCUACGACAACUGCACCAUGGCCGGGGUCACCGGCAACUGGACCUCCGGCAAGGACUUCAUCCCGCUCCCGGACCCAGGCACCUACUUCUUCAUCUGCGGCAACGGCUUCUGCCAGGCCGGCAUGAAGGUCGCCAUCACCGUCGCCCCUGGCAUCUUCGAUCUCGGCCCACAGAUCUACCCCCCGCCCGCCCCCGGCGCCGACAACCCAUCCGCCUCCUUCACCGCAGGGGCGUGGCCGGCAGCGGCAGCGGUGGUCACCGCGCUGGGAGCUGCUGCCAUCAUUGCCCUUUAG